AUUGAACGCUGGCGGCAGGCCUAACACAUGCAAGUCGAGCGGAGCGGCGGACGGGUGAGUACUGCCAAGGUAUCUGCCUGGUAGUGGGGGAUAACGUCCGGAAACGGGCGCUAAUACCGCAUACUAUCAGACAAGCCUAGGUCGGAUUAGCUAGUUGGUGGGGGAAAGGCCUACCAGGGCGACCAUCCGUAACUGGUCUGAGUGGUUGACCGGUCACACGGGAACUGGACCACGGUCCGAACUCCUCCGGAAGGCAGAAGGGGGGAAUAUUGGCAAAUGGGCGAAAGCCUAAUCCAGCCCUGCCGCGUGUGUGAGGAAGGUCUUCGGAUUGAAAAGCACUUUAAGUUGGGAGGCGUUACCAACAGAGUAAGCACCGGCUAACUUCGUGCCAGCAGCCGCGGUAAUUC
RNAcentral lists this ribosomal RNA (407 nucleotides) under uncultured bacterium. RNAcentral's name for it is "partial 16S ribosomal RNA". It matches the Rfam family "Bacterial small subunit ribosomal RNA", at positions 30 to 526 of the family's 1533-position model. The record is from RNAcentral.